Molecule: signal recognition particle RNA, 98 nt
Filed under: Treponema sp.
Lineage: Bacteria; Pseudomonadati; Spirochaetota; Spirochaetia; Treponematales; Treponemataceae
Also listed under: 1 other name
Description: signal recognition particle sRNA small type
Rfam family: Bacterial small signal recognition particle RNA
About the family: The signal recognition particle (SRP) is a universally conserved ribonucleoprotein involved in the co-translational targeting of proteins to membranes.
Source: RNAcentral
CCCAGAUGCGCUGCACGCAACUGUUAGAAAACCCCGCCAGAUCCGGAAGGAAGCAACGGUAUCUUUCGUGUUGCGGUGCCGGUGAUUAUCUGGGCUCU